This 422-nucleotide ribosomal RNA is filed under the name uncultured archaeon. RNAcentral describes it as "bacterial SSU rRNA". It matches the Rfam family "Archaeal small subunit ribosomal RNA", at positions 458 to 880 of the family's 1478-position model. The record is from RNAcentral.
UCAGCCGCCGCGGUAAAACCAGCACCUCGAGUGGUCAGGAGGUUUACUGGGCCUAAAGCAUCCGUAGCCGGUUGUUUAAGUUUUCGGUUAAAUCUAUGCGCUUAACGUAUAGGCUGCCGAAAAUACUGGACAGCUAGGGAGUGGGAGAGGUACACGGUACUCAAUUGGAAGGGGUAAAAUCCUUUGAUCUGUUGAUGACCACCUGUGGCGAAGGCGGUGUACCAGAACACGUUCGACGGUGAGGGAUGAAAGCUGGGGGAGCAAACCGGAUUAGAUACCCGGGUAGUCCCAGCUGUAAACGAUGCAAACUCGGUGAUGCAUUGGCUUGUGGCCAAUGCAGUGCCGCAGGGAAGCCGUUAAGUUUGCCGCCUGGGAAGUACGUACGCAAGUAUGAAACUUAAAGGAAUUGGCGGGGGAGCACA